AGCGAACGCUGGCGGCAUGCCUAACACAUGCAAGUCGCACGGUCGGGGGGGUGACCUUCGGCAGUGGCGGACGGGUGAGUAACGCGUAGGGAUCUAUCCUUGGAUGGGGGACAACCGCGGGAAACCGCGGCUAAUACCGCAUGAUGCCUGAGGGCCAAAGCUCGCGAGAGCGUCUGGGGGAGGAGCCUGCGUCCGAUUAGCUAGUUGGUGGGGUAACGGCCCACCAAGGCGUCGAUCGGUAGCUGGUCUGAGAGGAUGAUCAGCCACACUGGGACUGAGACACGGCCCAGACUCCUACGGGAGGCAGCAGGUGGGGAAUAUUGGACAAUGGGCGCAAGCCUGAUCCAGCAAUGCCGCGUGGGUGAAGAAGGUCUUCGGAUUAGUAAAGCCCUUUCGGACGGGGACGAUGAUGA
RNAcentral lists this ribosomal RNA (413 nucleotides) under uncultured bacterium. RNAcentral describes it as "bacterial SSU rRNA". It matches the Rfam family "Bacterial small subunit ribosomal RNA", at positions 30 to 455 of the family's 1533-position model. The record is from RNAcentral.